Molecule: unclassified non-coding RNA, 641 nt
Filed under: Hevea brasiliensis (rubber tree)
Lineage: Eukaryota; Viridiplantae; Streptophyta; Magnoliopsida; Malpighiales; Euphorbiaceae
Source: RNAcentral
AAAAGAAUAGAAAGAAGAAUCGGGAAAGAGAAAGAAAAGGGAAACAAAAGGAAAGAAAGAAGAAAGAAAAAAAGGAGAAGAAGAAGGGAAGAAAGAGAAGAAAGAAUGGCUCGAUUUUUAAGGAAAGAAAGAGAAGAAAGAAUAGCUCGAUUUUUUAAGUUUUCCAGCAAGCAAGGACGCUGGCAAGGGAAAGAGAGGGAGAAUGGUUUGAAAUACAAGAAAUAGAAAGGAAAGAGAGGCGGUAGAUGUUUACUAGUUCAGGUGAGUUUAGUAAUUUUUCACCAUUCAUUUUUGGAUAUAUUUAAGUUCUAUAUGUCUAGAAUUAAUGGUUAAAAUUUGGUAGUUUUUCAACAGUUGAUUUGGAGAAAUAAAUUUUUGAAGCUAUGCUAUCUGAAUUUUGGAAUUCUAGAUUUAGGCUGAUGAAAUUUGAGGAAAUUAAAUAGUUAGAGUGCUCACAAAAUUAUGAAAUUUGCUAAAGAUAGUCUUUAGGAUGUUGGAGAUUUUGUGUUAAAAUUUAGUAAAUUUUGGACUUGUGGUUUGUGAGAUAUAAAUUGUUUUGUAUGAGUUGUCUAAGUAAGAAUCAUUUCUAAAAAUUCAGAAUUUGAUGGGUUGAAUAAAUAUUUUGAUAUCUCAUGAUGUAG